This is a long non-coding RNA of Homo sapiens (human), 606 nucleotides long. Ensembl annotates it as CYP1B1 antisense RNA 1. Its record names the gene CYP1B1-AS1. The record is from Ensembl. NCBI's taxonomy places the organism in Eukaryota, Metazoa, Chordata, Mammalia, Primates, Hominidae.
CAGUUAAAUAUGGAUUUCAGAUCAACAAGGGCUAAUCUUUUAGUAGGAGAAAAGACCUGGCCCACGCCUCCCAGAGGCUUUACCUGGUGAAGAGGAGGAGCAGCCACUGCAGCGCGGUGGACAGGGUGUCCUGGCUGGCGCCGAAGAUGUCAGUGAUAGUGGCCGUCUAUCUUUGUUGAGUUUUGGUAUUGAUUUUAUGUGUCAGUACCUGAGAAGGAGAGAAGUCCUUGAGUUGUUUCGUAAAUGUGGCUCAAGUGAGAUGCUGAACAGUGCCAGCCAUGUGGACUCUGCCACAGUGAAGGAGGAAGGCAGCACUGAGAAGUGAAGGAAUAUUUGGGAGGAUCAGAAGCUUGGUCCUGAUUUUGCCAUCAACAGGAACUUGAUGACUUCAAGGGAGUCCCCAAACCCUGGGUUUCUGUUUUCUCAACUCUAACAUGAGGGGCUAGAUGCAUCUGGUUUAGUUAGUCUCCAUGAUGGUUUAGUUCGUCUCCAUGAUCCUGUGAAUUUCAGAUGUUGAAAAUCUUCGGAAAAGCCCUGAAAGAUGAACAGUGGUCUCAAAUAGUCAAGACCCCCUGCUGGGAGGAGCUUCUAUCCUGCUCUGUGGAA